This 74-nucleotide transfer RNA is filed under the name Parcubacteria group bacterium RIFCSPHIGHO2_01_FULL_47_10b. RNAcentral describes it as "tRNA-His". It matches the Rfam family "tRNA". From Rfam's summary of the family: Transfer RNA (tRNA) molecules are approximately 80 nucleotides in length. The record is from RNAcentral.
GUGCCCAUAGCUUAGCGGCCCAAAGCGUCGGGAUGUGGCCCCGAAGACCGCCAGUUCAAAUCUGGUUGGGCACC